AAAAAAAGAUAAAACUAGGGUUUAGAAGCAUUUCACCCGAACACACAUCUACUGCCGCCGUCCAGUGCUGCUGCUCUCUGAGGCGUCUUCAGGAGAAGUAAGAGGAAGCGGACGAUAAAACGCAAAAAUGCCAAAGCAGAUACAUGAAAUCAAGGAUUUUCUUCUCACAGCAAGAAGGAAGGAUGCUCGUUCUGUUAAAAUCAAGAGGAGAAGAGAUGUGGUGAAGUUCAAGGUUCGAUGCUCCAAGUAUCUUUACACACUGUGCGUGUUUGAUCCUGAGAAGGCUGACAAGUUGAAGCAAUCUCUUCCUCCAGGUUUGAGUGUUCAGGAACUGUGAAGAAACAAUCAAAGUGUUUCUGGGCCAUUACUGAAGUCAAGGAUCAAGUAUUUAGCCUUGUUUAUCUUCUUUUUUUAUUGUGAUUUUUGAGUAAUUUUGUCGAUUUAGUGACUUUGACUUAUCACUGAGAUCUUAUCCUAUUCCUGGAGAGGCCUCCUUAUAAUACAAAGUGGUGGAUUGGUAGAACCGCUUCUUGGAGAAAGUUUUUCACUAGUCAUGUUCAACUUUUUUCA
Long non-coding RNA from Populus euphratica (Euphrates poplar), 570 nucleotides. RefSeq lists it as uncharacterized. The transcript is spliced from 3 exons. Lineage: Eukaryota; Viridiplantae; Streptophyta; Magnoliopsida; Malpighiales; Salicaceae. The record is from RefSeq and is a predicted model, not a curated record.